RNAcentral lists this ribosomal RNA (303 nucleotides) under uncultured bacterium. RNAcentral describes it as "bacterial SSU rRNA". It matches the Rfam family "Bacterial small subunit ribosomal RNA", at positions 774 to 1074 of the family's 1533-position model. The record is from RNAcentral.
AGACAAUAGAUACCCAGGUAGUCCACACUGUAAACGUUGAUGACUCGCUGUUGGCGAUACACAGUCAGCGGCUGAGAGAAAUCGUUAAGUCAUCCACCUGGGGAGUACGCCGGCAACGGUGAAACUCAAAGGAAUUGACGGGGGUCGCACAAGCGGUGGAGCAUGUGGUUUAAUUACGAUGAUACGCGAGGAACCGUUACCUGGGCGUAGAAUGCCUUUGACGGGUUCGUAGAGAUGGAUCGUUCCGCAGGACGAAACGAGCAAGGUAGCUGCAUGGCUGUCGUCAGCUCGUGCCGUGAGGUA